CUACGGCCUCAGAUCAGACGUUGUGACCCACUGAAUUUAAGCAUAUUACUAAGCGGAGGAAAAGAAACUAACCAGGAUUCCCUCUCUAAUGGCGAGUGAAAAGGGAAGAGCCCAGCGCUGAAUUCCCGUUUAGCGGCAGGUGUGUGAAAUGUGGCAUACAGAAGACAGACUUCCCAGUGUUGCUCAGGGGGCUCAAGUCCUUCUGAUCGAGUCUCACCCCGCAGAUGCUGUUAGGCUGGUAGCGGCCUCCAGCACGCCGGGAUGGGGUCUUCUCAGAGUCGGGUUGCUUGGGAAUGCAGCCCAAAGCGGGUGGUAAACUCCAUCUAAGACUAAAUACGGGCGCAAGACCGAUGGCCAACAAGCACUGUAAGAGGAAAGUUGAAAAGAACUUGGAAGAGAGAGUUCAAGAAGGCAUGAAACUGUGGAGAGGUAAACGGGUGGAGUCUGCAGUCCUUCCGCAGUAUUCAACACGGCGGUCGCCUGGAACAGUGGAUGCCCUUGCAGGACUGCCGCCCGCGCACACCUGGCCCCCGCAGGGCUCAUUUCCUCUGUGGCGGUGCACCGUGACUGGCUGUGGGUCGGCUGGAAAGGUCCCAGGGGACAGGUGGCUCUCUGCUCCCGCAGAGAGUGUUACCGCCCCCGGACAGCAGUUUUGCUGUGUCCGCGGGGCCGAGGGAGAUUGACCGCCACGCCCUUCUACGGCAACCGUCCCGGCCCCUCUUGGUGGUCGCCGGGGAGGAGACGGGGCUUCCCGAUUCGACUGUCUACUCUGGUGUACUACCCUUAGUGCACCCUGACCAGGUUGCGCCGCUGGGCAGGGAGGCCCGCGAAGGCCCCAGGGUUCUGAGGUGAUGUCGUUACCCACCUGACACAUCUUGAAAACACAGACCAAGGAGUCUAACAUGUGCGUGAGUCGGAGUGCCGAACGAACCUUGUGGCGCAAUGAAGGUGAGGGCCUGGCGUGUGCCGGCUGGGGUGGGAUCCCGUCGCGGUGGCCGUGCCAACGGCACGUCUCGAGCAUGAGCGUGUGUGAUAGGACCCGUAUGAUGGAAAUUGAUGCCUGGGCAGGGCGAAGCCAUAGCAAACUCUGGUGAAGGUCCGUAGUGAUGCUGACGUGCAAAUCGGUCGUCCCACUUGGGUAUAGGGGCAAAAGACUAAUCGUACCAUCUAGUAGCUGGUUUCCUCCAAAGUUUCCCUCCGUAUAGCUGGUGCACGGAAACCCCGGUUUUAUCUGGUAAAGUGAAUGAUUAGAGGUCUUGGGGCCGAAAUGAUCUCAACCUAUUCUCAAACUUUAAAUGGGUAAGAAGCCCGGCUCGCUGGCUUGGACCCGGGCAUCUAAUGCAAGUGCCCAGUGGGCCACUUUUGGUAAGCAGACCUUGACGCUGUGGGAUGAACCGAACGCUGGGUUAAGGCUCCUGAUGCCAAUGCUCAUCAGACCCCAGAAAAGGUGUUGUUGAUAUAGACUGUAGGCGGUGGCCAUAGAAGUCGGAAUCCGCUAAGGAGUGCGUAACAACUCACCUGCCAAAUCAACUAGCCCUGAAAAUGGAUGGCGCUGGAGCGUCUGGCUCAUACCGGCCGGUGCUGAGAGCCGCGGGGACUAAGCCGCGACGAGUAGGAGGGCGUGUGGUGCGCGCGGAAGUCCGGGCAAGGCCCGGAUGGAGCUGCUGCAGGGGCAGGUCUUGAUGGUAGUAGCAAAUAUUCAAACAAGAACUUUGAAGGCCGAAGUGGAGAAGGGUUCCAUGUGAACAGCAGUUGAACAUGGGUCAGUCAGUCCUAAGAAAUGGUCGAACGCUGUUCGGAAGGGAUUGGCGAUGGCCUCCGUUGCCCUCAGCCGAUCGAAAGGGAGUCUGGUUCAGAUUCGAACCCGCAGCGGCGGAGACGGGCGGCGUCCAGUGCGGUAACGCAAACGAUCCCGGAGAAGUUGGCGGGAUCCCUGGGGAGUGUUAUGUUUUUUUGUGAAGGACAGGGCACCCUGGAAUGGUUUGCCCCGAGAGAGGGGCCCGAGCCUUGGAAAGCAUUGCGGUUCUGGCAGCAUCCGGUGAGCUCUCGCUGGUCCUUGAAAAUCCAGGGGAGGUGGUGUAAAUCUUGCGCCGGGACGUGCACAUAUCCGCAGCAGUUCUCCAAGGUGAACAGCCUCUGGCAUGUUGGAACAAUGUAGCUAAGGGAAGUUGGCAAAUCGGAUCCGUAACUUCGGGAAGGGCUGGGUCAGUCGGGCUGGGGUGCGAAGCCCCCGGUGGCAUUGCCGACUCUGGAUGUGAACGGGCCCUUCCUGUGGAUCGCCCCAGCUGCGGUGGUCGCCUCUCUCCAUUCCCCUCCCAGGGUUCGGGAUCAGUGUUUUGCCUCGGCCGACGCGUAGCAGCUAACUUAGAACUGGUGCGGACCAGGGAAAUCUAACUGUUAAAUUAAAACUAAGCAUCACAUUAGGUCCAUGGUGGGUGUUGUCGCAAUGUGAUUUCUGCACAGUGCUCUGAAUGUCAAAGUUAAGAAAUUCAAUGAAGCGUGGGGAAACGGCGAGAGUAACUAUGACUCUCUUAAGGUAGCCAAAGGCCUCGUCAUUUAAUUAGUGACGCACACAAAUGGAUGAACAAGAUUCCCACUGUCCCUACCUAAUAUCUAGUGACACCACAGCCAAGAGAACAGGCCUGGUAGUAUCAGUGGGGUCUGGCACUGUGAAGAGACAUGAGAGAUGUAGGAUAAGUGGGAGGUCCUCAGGCCGCUGGUGAAAUAAUACUACUUUUUUCACUUGCACAGUGAGGCGGGGGUGAGCACUGUGGGACUCUCACUUCUGGCUCCAACAGCCCGGCGUGUCCCGCUUCAGGGACAGUGGCAGGUGGGGAGUUUGACUGGGGCGGUUCACCUGGCAAACCAUAAUGCAGAUGUCAGGGAGGGUAGAAACCUCCCACGAUGCAGAAGGGCAAAAGCUUGCUUGAUCUCGAUUUUCAAUAUGACUACAGACCGCGAAAGCGAGGCCUUGGGAUCCUUCUGACUUUUUGGGUUUCAAGCAGGAGGUGUCAGAAAAGUUACCACUGGGAUAACUGGCUUGUGAUGACCAAGCGUUCAGAGCGACGUCGCUUUUUGAUCCUUCGAUGUCGGCUCUUCCUAUCAUUGUGAAACAGAAUUCACCAAGCGUUGGAUUGUUCACCCACUAAUAAGGAACAUGAGCUGGAUUGAGACAGUCGUUUUACCCUACUGAUGAUGUGUUGUUGCAAUAGUAAUCCUGCUCAAUAGAGAGGAACCGCAGGUUCAGGCAGUUGGUCUAUGUGUUUGGCUGAGGAGCUGUUGGGCAGAAUUCUGUGCAAUGUCCUUAGGGACCACUACACACAAUUAAGACUA
This 3333-nucleotide ribosomal RNA is filed under the name Ambystoma mexicanum (axolotl). Its description in RNAcentral is "eukaryotic LSU rRNA". It matches the Rfam family "Eukaryotic large subunit ribosomal RNA". Lineage: Eukaryota; Metazoa; Chordata; Amphibia; Caudata; Ambystomatidae. The record is from RNAcentral.